Molecule: long non-coding RNA, 419 nt
Filed under: Mus pahari (shrew mouse)
Lineage: Eukaryota; Metazoa; Chordata; Mammalia; Rodentia; Muridae
Description: lncRNA (MGP_PahariEiJ_G0002154.1)
Source: RNAcentral
GAAGGCAAAGGCGCCUCGGCGGGACCCCCACCCCCAGCGGCACGGCGGGCCCGGGGUCUCCACAGACCCGGCGGAGGGACGACAGCACACACAGGGCCCUGGCGCUCGGGCUCGGGUGCGUGGCAGUGCCGCGGGCGUCACCGGCGAGGAGGAAGCGGGCGUCACCAGCGAGGCCGCACAUGGCCGGCGGCGCUCAAGCGGAGGGGCGGCCCGGGACGCGGUACCUGCGGUCGGGCGGCGGGCUGCUGCUCCUGCGAGCCUCCUUUGGCCGGCCGGGACCCCCACCGUACCCUCGCCCUCGUCCGCCUCGCUCCCGACUCUUUUCCCUCUCUUUCCCCCUUUUUGCCCCUUCCUCGGCCGUGGCUCCAAGAUGGCGGCGCCGAGACGGAUCACGUGAGCGGCGAGCGGGUCAGGUGAGC